RNAcentral lists this transfer RNA (74 nucleotides) under Limimonas halophila. RNAcentral describes it as "Rhodospirillaceae bacterium Ia16 tRNA". It matches the Rfam family "tRNA". From Rfam's summary of the family: Transfer RNA (tRNA) molecules are approximately 80 nucleotides in length. The record is from Rfam by way of RNAcentral. Lineage: Bacteria; Pseudomonadati; Pseudomonadota; Alphaproteobacteria; Rhodospirillales; Rhodovibrionaceae.
GCGCCCAUAGCUCAACAGGAUAGAGCGCGGGACUUCUAAUCCCGGGGUUGGAGGUUCAAGUCCUCCUGGGCGCA